RNAcentral lists this long non-coding RNA (574 nucleotides) under Panicum hallii. RNAcentral describes it as "long non-coding RNA (PHAL_LNC000897)". Lineage: Eukaryota; Viridiplantae; Streptophyta; Magnoliopsida; Poales; Poaceae. The record is from RNAcentral.
GGAGCGAACCGAAAGCUCAGCUUUGCGGACUCUUCCUUUAUUUAGUAUAGGCAAGUCAGUACCCUCAAGUAAACUCCCUCUCCCCAUACCGAUCGAGUACUAAAGCUCUAUCCUAUUUCUGUUCGAUCAAAGCGAAAUAGUGGCUUGGCUGUCCGACGCUUGAUUCUCCGGGUUCGGUUUAUCCACGCUUUGUUUUUAGAUAUUGGUGCUCAAUGCUUGUGACCGCCACUCUUCAUAAAUAGCUUUAGCUCGGGUUGACUAUGUACCCAUAGGCUUGUUUAUUAGGCUCAUACAGACAAACUGGACAUCUCGCCGACCUACAACCAUACCAAGAAGAUCCCUUGAUUCUGCUUCCGUCUAUCAUCCUUUUGUAAGGAAGUAAAAAAUCAGGUUGGUUAAGCAAUUGGUAGCCCCCGGAUGAACGGUAGAAUCCAUCCAUAGAUUCACUGAAAUAUACUCAUCAGGGCUAAAAAAAAGAAAGACUAGCAGAAAGAAUAUUGAACCCCCUCGUAGAGGAUUCAAAAAAGAAAAAGAAGAGACCUCGAGUCAGCGCAUAAAGAAUGGAAUGGUACAU